UACGUAGGGAGCGAGCGUUGUCCGGAAUUACUGGGUGUAAAGGGAGCGUAGGCGGGAUGGCAAGUCAGAUGUGAAAACUAUGGGCUCAACCCAUAGACUGCAUUUGAAACUGUUGUUCUUGAGUGAGGUAGAGGUAAGCGGAAUUCCCGGUGUAGCGGUGGAAUGCGUAGAUAUCGGGAGGAACACCAGUGGCGAAGGCGGCCUACUGGCCACCAACUGACGCUGAGGCUCGAAAGUGUGGGUAGCAAACAGG
This 253-nucleotide ribosomal RNA is filed under the name Ruminococcus callidus. RNAcentral's name for it is "partial 16S ribosomal RNA". It matches the Rfam family "Bacterial small subunit ribosomal RNA", at positions 524 to 776 of the family's 1533-position model. The record is from RNAcentral. Lineage: Bacteria; Bacillati; Bacillota; Clostridia; Eubacteriales; Oscillospiraceae.